AGCGAACGCUGGCGGCAGGCCUAACACAUGCAAGUCGAACGAACUCUUCGGAGUUAGUGGCGGACGGGUGAGUAACACGUGGGAACGUGCCUUUAGGUUCGGAAUAACUCAGGGAAACUUGUGCUAAUACCGAAUGUGCCCUUCGGGGGAAAGAUUUAUCGCCUUUAGAGCGGCCCGCGUCUGAUUAGCUAGUUGGUGAGGUAAAGGCUCACCAAGGCGACGAUCAGUAGCUGGUCUGAGAGGAUGAUCAGCCACAUUGGGACUGAGACACGGCCCA
This 277-nucleotide ribosomal RNA is filed under the name uncultured bacterium. RNAcentral describes it as "partial 16S ribosomal RNA". It matches the Rfam family "Bacterial small subunit ribosomal RNA", at positions 29 to 333 of the family's 1533-position model. The record is from RNAcentral.